GAUGAAGAACGUAGCGAAAUGCGAUAACUAGUGUGAAUUGCAGAUUUCAGUGAAUCAUCGAGUCUUUGAACGCACAUUGCGCCCCUUGGUAUUCCAUGGGGCAUGCCUGUUCGAGCGUCAUUUGUACCUUCAAGCUCUGCUUGGUGUUGGGUGUUUGUCUCGCCUUUGCGUGUAGACUCGCCUUAAAACCAUUGGCAGCCGGCGUAUUGAUUUCGGAGCGCAGUACAUCUCGCGCUUUGCACUCAGAACGACGACGUCCAAAAGUACAUUUUUACACUCUUGACCUCGGAUCAGGUAGGGAUACCCGCUGAACUUAAGCAUAUCAAUAAGCGGAGGA
RNAcentral lists this unclassified non-coding RNA (337 nucleotides) under soil metagenome. RNAcentral's name for it is "partial contains 5.8S ribosomal RNA, internal transcribed spacer 2, and large subunit ribosomal RNA". The stretch from base 1 to 120 matches the Rfam family "5.8S ribosomal RNA", at positions 35 to 154 of the family's 154-position model. The record is from RNAcentral.